CACAGUUCAGCUCUCAGCAACUGAUGCACAGACAGCUGCUGUUUUCUCCCUUCCCCACCUCCUGCUCCCCUAACCAUUCUCCUUUUUCUUUCAAUUUCUUACCUACACUGCCUCCAUUCAUCCCCUCUGUACUUUCCCCUUCCUUCCCUCUACUUUGUCAUUUUGAUCUGUACUUUUCCUCAGGCGGAUAAAAAAGGCAGGUCCUGGUGCAGGGAGAGGGCUUGUGUAAUCUCUGGCUGCACAUGAGCACCGGAGAGUUAUUGCUUCAGCUGGAAAAGCAACACAGCAGAGGACCCGCUAACACUUAAAGGACAAACUUUGGAAUAAGGAGAGGAGUAAGGAACACUUGUUGUGACAGGAAGAGACGAGAGGAACAGUUUGGAGUUUUGGGUGCAGGACAGAGACCAUGCCGGGCUCUGUGCUGCUGCUGCUUCUGUCCCUGUUGGUCCUGUCCACAGGAAGUGAUGCCAGAAGAAUAAGGAAAAGAGGACUCAACCACAAGGACUAUGAGUACCAAAACCACCCCCAGUCCACACAGCACCAGAAGAAUGAUCGGUGUCCACCACCACCACAGAUGCUGCCAGAGAGAGCAUGCGAGGUGCCGGGCUGCCGCUCAGACUCCGAGUGUGAGCGCCAUAAACGCUGCUGCUACAAUGGCUGCAUCUACGCUUGCCUGGAGUCAGUCCAGCCACCACCAGUGUUGGAUUGGCUGGUGCAGCCCAAACCUCGGUGGUUGGGGGGAAACGGCUGGCUGUUGGACGGUCCCGAGGAGGUUCUGCAGGCUGAGGCCUGCAGCACAACAGAGGAUGGAGAUGAGCCUCUUCACUGUCCCACAGGCUACGAGUGCCACAUAAUCAACCAAGGAAACCCUGCUGCUGGAAUCCCUAACAGAGGACAGUGCAUCAAGCAACGUGCCAACUCUGAUGGACGGGGUCUGAGGCACAAAUACUUCAAGGACUACAAGGACUACUUGGGUAAGUGAGGUACCAGUUCUAACAAUGCAGUCGGCUAUGAAAAACAUCAUCACAAGCACCUGCAGGGAUAAAAUCCACCCUGACCUCAGCUUCAUCGACGACCGUAACACAACCUCAGACAUCAGCACACUCCUCAUCAAUCUGCUCUCAUCACACCUGAACCAGGACCACACCUGACCUUUGUUUUAACUCUUACAGCGGCUACCUCCUCUUCGUAAAAGCCUCUCUUGCAGUCAGUGCCAUCACAAAAUCCUUCAAAGGACAAUCAAACGUACAGUAAACAACCAAAGAAAUGAGUGCUCCUUUUAUUUCCCUUCUCUGUCUGGUGUUUGUGAAAGGAUGAUGAUGGUAGAGCAGACGAGAGGUGAGCAGAGUUUGCACCAAAGAUUAUUUUCCAAAUGUCUCAGAAGGAAAAAGGAAACUCAAGCCUUUUUAAGUCAUGUCGUGUUUUCACUUUGCAGCCAUCUCCCGCUCUUCACUGCAUUCUUAUUCUCACACACAAACACACUGGGUAUUUCUAAGGCCAGUCAACACAGGAAAUCAGAACCAUAUGGCCUCUCACUCAUCUGUCUAUCUUAUUGUCAAAAGGAAACAGUUUGAAUUUCCUGAUCUUUACUCUGGAAGGUUUCAUUGAAAAAUAGGUCAAAUUCCAGCCAAAUUUCUCCACUUCUUUCAUCAAAUCCAAAUGUAGUUUUAUAAUCUGUAGAAUAACAACUCAUAGACCUGAUUUAAACAUAACUGCCAUAUUAGUGUUUUGAUGUUUUUAAAUAUUUGGAUCAUCAUAUAGGUGCUACUUAAAGGUCAAAUAUUGUGCAUAACAUGUUUCUCUAACACUAGUGUCCUAAGUCUGUCUACAAACCCCCCAAUUAUGA
Molecule: RNA transcript, 1846 nt
Organism: Labrus bergylta (ballan wrasse)
Lineage: Eukaryota; Metazoa; Chordata; Actinopteri; Labriformes; Labridae
Gene: wfdc1
Gene name: WAP four-disulfide core domain 1
Source: RefSeq, a predicted model, not a curated record